UAACAAGGUUUCCGUAGGUGAACCUGCGGAAGGAUCAUUAAUAAUGCUCUCUGGCUUCGGUCAGUUGAGUUCAAUGAGUGCCUUCUCUUCGGAGUUGGCCAUCCAUACACACCGUGAACUGUGGCUUCGGCCAUCACAAACUGUUAGUAAUGAAUGUAAUAUCAUAACAAAAACAAAACUUUUAACAACGGAUCUCUUGGCUCUCGCAUCGAUGAAGAACGCAGCGA
RNAcentral lists this unclassified non-coding RNA (227 nucleotides) under uncultured fungus. Its description in RNAcentral is "partial contains 18S rRNA, ITS1, 5.8S rRNA". The stretch from base 177 to 227 matches the Rfam family "5.8S ribosomal RNA", at positions 1 to 51 of the family's 154-position model. Lineage: Eukaryota; Fungi. The record is from RNAcentral.